RNAcentral lists this unclassified non-coding RNA (365 nucleotides) under uncultured Kofleriaceae bacterium. RNAcentral describes it as "contains 16S-23S intergenic spacer region". Lineage: Bacteria; Pseudomonadati; Myxococcota; Haliangiales; Kofleriaceae. The record is from RNAcentral.
UCCGGUUUGGCACCGGCAGUCCUCCCAGAGUCCUCGGCAUUACCCGGUAGCAACUGGAAGCGAGGGUUGCGCUCGUUGCGGGACUUAACCCAACAUCUCACGACACGAGCUGACGACAGUCACCGGCUCCCUUGCGGGCACCUCUACAUCUCUGCGGAGUUCCGGCGGAUUUAACCCAGGUAAGGUUCUGCGCGUUGCGUCGAAUUGAACCACAUGCUCCACCGCUUGUGCGGGCCCCCGUCAAUUCCUUUGAGUUUUAGCCUUGCGGCCGUACUCCCCAGGCGGAAUGCUUAAUGCGUUAACUUCGUUGCCGCAGGGGUCAAUACCCGCGACGACUAGCAUUCAUCGUUUACGGCGUGGACUAC